GAGCAGUUCCGCCAUGCAGAGGGGGAGACUGCCUGUUCUUUAACCUCUCCUACCUGAUGGGAGAGGACAAGCUACCAGGGCAGCUUGUCUCACCAAGAAACUGUGAUACUGCAUCCCCCAACGUGCUGGCUUCCUGACUUCCAAAGUUGCGGCAAGGUAAGAAGAACUACAGAGGAAGAACCUACUGCAGAUGUUUCCCAGGAGACUUUAAUUGAAGUAUCAGCAAAACUGAAAGGUAACGAGAGAAUCUUGUGCCUCUGAGGGUGUCUUUCCCAUGGAUCCCUGCUCAGUUGCCUUUCACGGGCCCCCUGAUUUGCGUGAACUCCUGACCUCAGAUGAUCCACCUGCCUUGGCCCUCCAAAGUGCUGGAAUUAUAGGCAUGAGCCACCGUGCCUGGCCUGUUCCAUGCAUUAAAAAAAAAUUAAAAAAUUAAAAAAAAUCAGUGAGAACAAGAAGAAAUGUAAAUGCUGGGCUUUUCAUAUAAAUCCAGGGAAUUAUGGGACAGUUAGUACCCACCUCCCAGGGUAUUAUGAGGAUAAAUUCAUGUCAUCUUCCCACCACAGUGCUCUGUAGCGUGCUUCUGAGCACACAGAGCAUGCUCCAUAAACAUUGCAUUAACGCAUGUGUGCAUGUUGUUUUCCAAAUGCAGACUUACUCAGACAUGAGCUGCCUUCUCCAGCCUCUGUAAAGUUUAAAGGACCAGCAGAGUAUGCCAUGUUUUAGGAUAGUGAUUGGUGGUUUUUAUUUUGGACUGAAAGCAUUUAUGUUGUGAGAAGAGUAUGGGUUUAAGGAACUGUGUGCUGUGGCACUUUGUCUAGUUGAAUGCUGCUAUAAGUGAUCUAGGGCAAGUAGGGUCAGCAUUAGCUGUGAAUGAAGCCAAUCCAUGGACCCCUUUCAAACCUGCAGAAUUGGCCAGGCAUGGUGGCUCAUGCCUGUAAUCCCAGCACUUUGGGAGGCCGAGGCGGGUGGAUCACUUGAGGUCAGGAGGUCGAGACCAGCCUGACCAAUAUGGAGAAACCCCGUCUCUACUAAAAAAUACAAAAUUAGCCGGGUGUGGUGGCACAUGCCUGUAAUACCAGCUACUCGGGAGGCUGAGGAAGGAGAAUUGCUUGAACCUGGGAGGUGGAGCUUGCGGUGAGCUGAGAUUGCGUGCCAUUGCACUCCAGCUUGGGCAAGAAGAGCAAAACUCCAUCUCAAAAAAAAAAAAAAAAAAGAAAAAAAGGGAAAAAAGAAAACAUUAAAUGCAGCAAGAUGCAGGUCAGAGCAUACCUCCAUUUGUGUGCUCUUGUGGACAAAAUUUAAAUGGCAAAUAAGAUUUUGCAUUUAUUGACGUUUUUCUUUACAUUGCUAUAAGUACAAAUACCCAUUUAUCCUUUGACCUCCUAUAUCUUUAUUCUGUAUGCAUAUAAAAAAAAUGCUAGAUCUGUAUCUAGAUUAUACAUGGGUAAACACAACAUAUAGAAUUAUAUGACUUUGCCUAUGUAGAUAUUUAUGUAUACAAUAGAUAUUAAAUAACAUUUUAAAUUCCCCAGCCUACACUGAGGAUGCAGAUAUAAACUUACUCUCAUCUAUAUGGAUCCAUACCAUCUCAGACUGGAACACAGCCAUACAAUGUUAUGUUUAAACAUCAAUAAAGCUUCACAUAUAGGUGCAUGGCCUGGGAAGUAUGUUUUUGGUAAAGCCAUCUUAGACUCUAGUUCCAGCUUAGCAUUUCAGGGCCCUGCUUCCUUUCUCACUGUAUGCCUGUGAUUCACAUUUGCCAUUUGGGUCGAUUGACUUAUAUCCAUCUAAGCUGAUCUAAGUGGUUUAUUAAACUCAUCUGGGCUGCAGAAGUUGAGAAGGAAAGCGACCUCUGACCUACUUAUUCUGAGGCUUGUCUACAGGACAUAUGCAAUAAUGGGAAUUACAUUGACAUACCUAUGUUACCCAUUUUCUGUUUUUUUUUUUUUGAGAUGGAGUUUCACUCUUGUUGGCCAGGAUGGAGUGCAAUGGUGCAAUAUCAGCUCACUGCAACCUCUGCCUCCUGGGUACAAGCGAUUCUCCUACCUCAGCCU
Molecule: long non-coding RNA, 2054 nt
Filed under: Pan troglodytes (chimpanzee)
Lineage: Eukaryota; Metazoa; Chordata; Mammalia; Primates; Hominidae
Description: long non-coding RNA NONPTRT008030
Rfam family: Metazoan signal recognition particle RNA (bases 912-1028)
Source: RNAcentral